CCCUGAGGCCGGGCAAGAUGGCGGCGGGGCGGAGGCCGGCGGCGGGCGCGGAGCCGCUGCCUGCGGCGGGAGGUGUUGUCGCGCCCGGCUCGCUGCGCGGCCUCCCGGCACAGCGCAGGAACACAGACCGGCACCCCCGUUUCUUCCACCGCCCUAUUAAACGAGGAGCGGCAGGAGAGGCAGCAUCUGUCCUGUUUGCAGCGCUGAAAUGACACCGGGACACUUGGGCGCGGACGGAGGAGAGGGGAUGGUGCCCUGGUGUGCUGAAUAAGGAUCACUGCUACUGUAAACCCCUACGCAGGCAGCAUCAAGAGAAUAGGAUUUGUCACACCAACACUGAACCAAGACUAAGCUUCAGCCUUUUAUAUGGAACUGCUGGAAGAGGAAGCUGCAGUACGGAAAGCAGUCAGUCUUGACUGCGUGACACCAUGCCUCUCACAGAAGGCAAAUGAUGUCUUACUUCAAAAACUUCAUGAAAUGCAAACUUGUUGAUUCACUGUUCUUAGAGCUGUUACACUUGAAUAACUGGGGACAGGGAAAGUUACAAUUAGUACAUCAAAGUAAAUCAAAUUAAGAUUUAUAGUUUGAUUUACUCUGAAGACUACAGAGGUAAAAAGAAAAAGAAGCAAAAGUAUUAUAGUAUACAGCAUUUUUUUUCUCCUACUAGCAGGAGCAGCUUUUUAGAUAAAUGAUGAACUAAAACUUAACAAGUACAGAACAGAACUCACAGAGCAACAUUUUUUCAUAGCUAGAAAAAGCCACUGAAAAUGUGAAGUUGCCAAUAGAGGAAUGCAACAGCAAAGUACAUAAUACAGCAAUACUUGUAUAUUAUUGUAAAAGCAAUAAUACAUGUCUAUCACUAAGUCAGUAGAAAACUAACUGCUUACAAUGGCAAAUAGUGACCUCAUUUUAGUUAAGCUGCUCCACAUAUUGAGUGAAGAUAAUUUAUUUUCACCUGUCUGCAGAAGUAAGGUGUGCUUCAAGUUGUAAGCAUGGGCGUGUUUCAUGAUUUAAAUAAUAGCUCACACCUUUUGCUUUAUACUGUGUGUAUCUCGAUUAAGACAAAUGCCUGGUAACUUGUUCUGGUUUUACUCCACAGUGCUUCAAAGUUGCCUGCAUGAUCUGGUAGGGUGGUGAGACUACCGUGUUUCCUUGGACAAGUACCAGAACUUCAACUUGAACAAAGUGGGAUUAAGUUUUACUCAAUUUUAGAGGAAGACUUCAACAUAUGGACAAGAUAGUAUGAAGAAGCACACUGCUUAAAUUGACAAUGAUUUAUUGUGUUUAGGAACAUUCAAUAAAUACCAAUCUUUUAGUUUCAGUUUGGAAAUCAUUCCCCAUCAAAAAUCAGUUGUUUGUGUUGGUUUUUUUUUUUUUCUGGCAUAAACUCCAUUGCCAGCAAUGGAUGUAUCAGAAAAAGAAUUUAAUA
Molecule: long non-coding RNA, 1429 nt
Organism: Parus major (Great Tit)
Lineage: Eukaryota; Metazoa; Chordata; Aves; Passeriformes; Paridae
Exons: 2
Source: RefSeq, a predicted model, not a curated record